UACGUAGGGUGCGAGCGUUAAUCGGAAUUACUGGGCGUAAAGCGUGCGCAGGCGGUUUGUUAAGCCAGAUGUGAAAGCCCCGGGCUCAACCUGGGAACUGCGUUUGGUACUGGCAAGCUAGAGUGCGGCAGAGGGGGGUGGAAUUCCACGUGUAGCAGUGAAAUGCGUAGAGAUGUGGAGGAACACCGAUGGCGAAGGCAGCCCCCUGGGCCGACACUGACGCUCAGGCACGAAAGCGUGGGGAGCAAACAGG
Molecule: ribosomal RNA, 253 nt
Filed under: uncultured bacterium
Lineage: Bacteria
Description: partial 16S ribosomal RNA
Rfam family: Bacterial small subunit ribosomal RNA
Source: RNAcentral